GAUGAACGCUGGCGGCGUGCUUAACACAUGCAAGUCGAACGGAAAGGCCAGUGCUUGCACUGGUACUCGAGUGGCGAACGGGUGAGUAACACGUGGGUGAUCUGCCCUGCACUUCGGGCUAAGCCUGGGAAACUGGGUCUAAUACCGGAUAGGACAAUGGUUUGGAUGCCGUUGUGGAAAGUUUUUUCGGUGUGGGAUGAGCUCGCGGCCUAUCCGCUUGUUGGUGGGGUAAUGGCCUACCAAGGCGUCUACGGGUAGCCGGCCUGAGAGGGUGUACGGCCACAUUGGGACUGAGAUACGGCCCAGACUCCUACGGGAGGCAGCAGUGGGGAAUAUUGCACAAUGGGCGCGAGCCUGAUGCGGCGACGCCGCGUGGGGGAUGACGGCCUUCGGGUUGUAAACUCCCUUCGCUAGGGACGAAGCGUAUUUGUGACGGUACCUGGAGAAGAAGCACCGGCUAACUACGUG
RNAcentral lists this ribosomal RNA (468 nucleotides) under uncultured bacterium. RNAcentral describes it as "partial 16S ribosomal RNA". It matches the Rfam family "Bacterial small subunit ribosomal RNA", at positions 28 to 507 of the family's 1533-position model. The record is from RNAcentral.